UCGUGUAGGUUGGGAAAAUGGUUUAUGGUUUAUGGGUCAUGGGUUAAGCGUUAACGGGUAAUUAUGGUUACGUUUAAGAAUAGUUAGGGGUACGAAUAUUAGGGAUAACCAUAGAAACCGGUAAGUAUGCGAAGGGUUUAAAUGGGUUAAUUAGUGAAGUAAGGUCGAAUGGUGCUAAGUGUAUGGCUGAACUUUAGGUUAAGGUUUCGGGUUGGACUAAAGUUGAGGGUUGGGCUAAAUUGAUGGUUGGGCUAAAGCACGAGUGAGAGGAGAGAGUAUAUGUGAGAGGAAAUAAAGGAUGUAUGAGAGGAGAGAGGGUAUGUGUUAGAGGAGAGAGAGGAUAUGUGUGAGAGGAGAGAGAGCAUGUGUCAAAAAGGAGAGAAGUUGUGUGAGAGGAGAGAGAGAGUUAGUGUGAGUGGAGAAAAGGUUCUGUGAGAGGAGAGAGAGGUUGUGUGAGAAGAGAGAGGAUUUGUGAGAGGAGAGAGAGUUUGUGUGAGAGGAGAGAGAGUUUGAGUGAGAGGAGAGGGAGUAUGUGUUGAGUGGAGAAAGAGUAUGUAUGAGAGAGUAUGUGUGAGAAGAAAGAGAAGAUGACUGAGGGGAGAGAGAGGUUGUAUAAGAAGAGAGAGAGAAUGUGUGAAUGGAGCACAGUGUGAAAGAGGAGAGACAUAGUAUGUGUGAGAGGAUGUAUGGGUGUGUUUUAAAGAGAGAGAGAGAGAGUGUGUGAGCGGGUGGGUGACAAGGAGAGAAGAGCGAGAGCAUGGAGGGGUUCAAGUGGAGUGGAGUGUGUAAUUUAUGUAUAUAUAAAUAUAAUAUACUAACUACAUAAAUGAUUUGGAAAAUAUGUUUAAGCUAUUAAAACUAUUGAGAUUUCAGUAUUUUCUAAUGUUUCCGUUGAACUUUGAGUUUCCGCAAGUAUCCGA
This 920-nucleotide long non-coding RNA is filed under the name Mytilus galloprovincialis (Mediterranean mussel). The record is from RNAcentral. Lineage: Eukaryota; Metazoa; Mollusca; Bivalvia; Mytilida; Mytilidae.